CGAAUCCAUAGCGGUUUUGGUCAAACCUUCUGUCAGGAUACACACUAGGACAACAAGAUAACGGCAGGCUUGAGUGUGGUAAGUAUCACAAUCCAAAGGACGCGGAGUAUGAACACCAGGGAGAUGGAGGAGUCUCUGGACGAGGGAAAACAGGUAAGUAACACAAGGGUGUACUGAGGAAACAGACUGGAAUAGUCUCAGGAACAAUCGUCUGAAAAGCACAGAGAGCAGGUUAGUGGAUAUUUCCUCGUUCAAGGUUUGACAGAGACUGGAGGUGAGUUGUGCUCUUAAAUAGUGCUGGUGAUUGCUGGAUUGCUGGAUUGAUGACAGGUGCAGGUGAUUAGUAUUCGGGUGAGUGUGAUCUUUGUGUUGUGGAUGUGAGUGAGCCUGAUUGCCUCCUGACAGUCGGUGCAUAAUUUGGUUGCACCACCUGUUCUUAAGGCAAGUCUUAACUAGUAAGUCGUAAACUCUCCGUAAAGUGAUGCGUAGUCGCAUAAUAUGACAUUUAACUGCAUUGAUCCAAUAAGUAGCCUUCAUAUUUGUACACAGAAGUAUUAAAUAGCCAUGAACUUCAAUUUGAUUUUUUUACGGUUGAUGUACAAACCUUGUCUUCUCAUGUAACUGUCACUGUGAACGUCACAAGAGCAGCUCUCUUGAGAGACAUAUUUUGAUAAUUAAAAUAUUAUUUUAAUUAUUUAACAUUUUAUGCUUAUAUAUGUGACUGUCAUUCAUGUUUUUGAAGCCUGAAAAGGAAAUCAUACCCUUAUUUUAUAUGACUCAAGCUGGGGUUGCAACCUUCUUUUUUUGUCCUUUGCUGAGCACAUGCCUGUGUGUUGAAACUUGACACCGGGCGACACAUCCUGAAAACUGCACUGUUUGAACGGUUUCAUGCUGAAGAGAUGCUUAAAAGUAAGGUUUUUUCUCUCUUGUAAAUGUCAACAUCAUUAUGUAUGUCGAUAUGAUUGAUGCCUGUCAUGCAAAACAUGAGCUUAUUUAUGUCAUAAAAUAUCAGUCUGCUUUUUUAUUCCAUCUGUUACUCCUUGUCGGAGACUUCCGUAAAUAUUUAGUUUAUACGUAGGGUUACGUUCUACUGAAGUUUAAUGGUGCAAAGCUCAAAUAUUUAGUAGUGCUUAAAAAGUAGUUAAAAGUUUAUAUCAAACUUUUAUUUUUUCUUAUUUUUUGCAGUGCAAGCUUGCCCAGAGUUUUCCUAAGCCGUUUGGAGUGUGAUGCAGCACAUGUUUCCUUGGCAAUGAAGUGGAGCCUGAUGUUUGUGCAGCUUUCUGCAAUGCACUGAGUAUGAAGAUGUGAUUGUUGUAUGGUUCUAGGUUGAACAUGUUUGCCUCCUUGAAUGCAGAACCACCAUGGAGAUCCAGAACCUUUGUGGGGACAGAGAUGGGCCUUGUGAGUGUGUGCUGUUGAAGAAAUUUCUUAGCUUUCUUGCAGACUUUCAGGACGCUAUCUGACGGUCUUCUAAAUCCACCUCAGGACUUCAUGUCGAUCAGUGUGUUCAUCUUGGGAAGAGCUCUCUCAGACACGGAGUGCUGAUAAACAGGCUGAACGUCACUGCCUGAAAUGCCAGCAUAUCAGAAGAUGUUGCCUCCAGUGUGACUGUGCUAUCCGGUGGAGAACUGUUGCCACUUGCUCUGAUGGCUUGUCUUGCUGCCAUUCUUUUGAAAGCUGAAUAAUGUGGGAUUGCUGUUAA
Molecule: long non-coding RNA, 1702 nt
Organism: Xyrauchen texanus (razorback sucker)
Lineage: Eukaryota; Metazoa; Chordata; Actinopteri; Cypriniformes; Catostomidae
Exons: 3
Source: RefSeq, a predicted model, not a curated record